Formica exsecta is the source of this 2099-nucleotide long non-coding RNA. RefSeq lists it as uncharacterized. NCBI's taxonomy places the organism in Eukaryota, Metazoa, Arthropoda, Insecta, Hymenoptera, Formicidae. The record is from RefSeq and is a predicted model, not a curated record. The transcript is spliced from 2 exons.
UUAAUUUCUGUCCUCAUGUCAGCGUUUUAUAUCAAUUAUUUGGAAACUGUUCUAUAUAUAAGGUAAAAUAUAAUGUGUAAAAUUGACGAAACGAAAUUGUGCGAAUAUUUCAGACCAAGACAAGAUCAAACGCGAGCCACAACUGUUUCUGCCAGUGAGACCGGACACGUUAUUCGCGCCCUACGAUAUUCAUAAGCAGGGGCUGCAGACGAACAGAUGCAGCGUAAGUCAUUUCAAAAAUGAUAUAUCAUAGUCCAGUAAAAUAGUAUCUGAAAAUGGCAAAACGGAUAGACAAGCCAAUUUUUUGAGGGUGAGUAGAAGGUCAUAGGAGAUGCCCGAAUUCACAAAGUUCCAACAAAAUUUCCCUGUGCGUCGGCGGCCAUCUUCAAAAUAGGGCUGUCAAGGAAAGAAAGUUACAACCAAAAAAAUGCCGUCAAUUUGGGGUUGAACAUUUUUAUUGACAAUUAUAUUGCCCCCUGUUAGUUUUAUCAAAAAAAUGUUCAAAUAAAACUUGUAGAGGACUCACUUCUCUACAAUUUUUGAAUGUCUGCAAGAUUUGACGUGAAUGAUUAGAGCCUGGAGAUCGCGCGAUAUGAUUUAUUCUAAAAUGUUACCUUAUGCAAUGGUCUUAUUUUUAUAAUGGAAAGGUGUAUCGUGACGUCAAUAUAUUACUUACUCGGAAUCGGGAGACCGAACAGAGUUUAGCCGCAAAUAAUCAACGAUGCAUUCGAAUCCGCAGUUAGCAUGCAAUUUCCUUGCGAAACAUUUAUCUGCCAUUAUAUUCUCGUGACGUAAACAGUGUUAAACCCCGCUAGGUUUAUACGCCACAUAGAUUUAUACGUCGCAUUAAGAUUAAUCUCAUUAAGAUCUAUUUUGGAUGUCUUUGUGUCUCUCGUAUUGUUUUCAGAAAAAGAAAAAACUUCUUCUGUAGAAUUUUUCUUCUCGCACAAAACAUUUCAAAUAUAUUUGAAAUUAAUUCAUUAAUUCACUUUCUUAGUAAAAUUACUUUUUCUUUUACUUACUUAAAAAAAUAAAAUUAUUUGAAGAAAUUUAAUUUGGAGACUGCAGAAAGAUAGUUUGAUUUAAUCUAAAAGUUUAAAGAAAAUAUCUAAUUUGUUUUUAAAUACCAUAAAAAAACAUGGUCUUUCUUUUACACAUAUUCUGUUAAUUAUAAAAAGGUAGAUAUUUAAAAAAGUAUUUUAUUUGCAUGUGGAAGAGAUAUCCACAUGCGAAUUUGUAAUAUGGUAAUAAAGUGACGAUAUUUGUUUCAAUAGCAAGUAACUCUGCUGUGACAAAACAUGUUUACGAGCUGAAUAACAACUUCUUUUUCUUCCGAUAUUAUAAUAGUUUUAUUGAUUCCUCGAUUCCGAGUAAGUAAUAUUCGUUCGGAAAUACCUCGUCAAAUGAUUCUUUCCUGACAUACUCGAGAACGGUUGCAUAAUGCUGGGUUAUUUCUGUUCGAGCGCGCGGAAUGCAUAAAAUCGCUUAUUCUUGUCUAUGCGCUCUUAUAUUACCCAACAAAAUAAUGCACAUUUCAAUUGAGCGUUACGAUCUACAAAAACUCUGCGCGCAUCUUCAAUAAGGCUCAUGUAUUUCUCGUGCGAUUUAAUGAAAGUAGAUAAAACGUUCAACGUAAGUUUCAACAAAAAUAAACAAAUAUUUUAUCGCAAUAAUUCACGCGAAAUGUAGAAAGACAACGUCAACAUAGGAUAAUAAAUUCAUAUUAUAUAAUACAUCAACAACAAAGAAAAUUUAAGGAAAUAAAUAAUUAUUUUUUUAUAGUUUCCCGAUAUCAGAUUUUGGUUUCGAAAGUGUUCUAUUACGUCAUCAUAAUUUGAUAAACAUGAAAUCAAAGUUGUAAAAAAAGGAUUAGUUUGAUAUAGUUACAGCUCAAAAUUAAGAAUAUUUUAUUAUAAUUUUUAAGCUUAAAAUGGUUAUAAAGAUCAAGAUUAAUAAAAUUUUUGUGUACCGAAUAUUGGGUCAUACCGCAUAAAGAUUGUAAUUAUUUACCUUGUAAUUAACAUUGAAUUUGUAUUCAAUAACUUGUAUAUAUAUAAAGCUUUAUACUUUAUAAUUUAUAUUAAAUUCUUCUAUAAAUG